Molecule: unclassified non-coding RNA, 219 nt
Filed under: uncultured Basidiomycota
Lineage: Eukaryota; Fungi; Basidiomycota
Description: sequence contains ITS2
Source: RNAcentral
AAUUCUCAACCUUUCUAGUCUUUUUGGGCUUAGUUGGGCUUGGAUAUUGGGAGUUUGCAGAUUCUUAAUGUGGAGUCAGCUCUUCUGAAAUACAUUAGCCGGAUUACUCGCUGCAUCGUCUUUGAUAUGAUAAAUAUCUAUAUCAUUGGCGAACAGUGUGUUCCUUAGUGGAAAGAUCCAGCUUUCUAAUCCUCUUUUCGAGGCAAAUUAAUGAAUCAU